RNAcentral lists this ribosomal RNA (655 nucleotides) under Stenotrophomonas sp. EE6. RNAcentral describes it as "bacterial SSU rRNA". It matches the Rfam family "Bacterial small subunit ribosomal RNA", at positions 23 to 668 of the family's 1533-position model. The record is from RNAcentral. Lineage: Bacteria; Pseudomonadati; Pseudomonadota; Gammaproteobacteria; Lysobacterales; Lysobacteraceae.
CUCAGAGUGAACGCUGGCGGUAGGCCUAACACAUGCAAGUCGAACGGCAGCACAGGAGAGCUUGCUCUGCUUGGUGGCGAGUGGCGGACGGGUGAGGAAUACAUCGGAAUCUACUUUUUCGUGGGGGAUAACGUAGGGAAACUUACGCUAAUACCGCAUACGACCUACGGGUGAAAGCAGGGGAUCUUCGGACCUUGCGCGAUUGAAUGAGCCGAUGUCGGAUUAGCUAGUUGGCGGGGUAAAGGCCCACCAAGGCGACGAUCCGUAGCUGGUCUGAGAGGAUGAUCAGCCACACUGGAACUGAGACACGGUCCAGACUCCUACGGGAGGCAGCAGUGGGGAAUAUUGGACAAUGGGCGCAAGCCUGAUCCAGCCAUACCGCGUGGGUGAAGAAGGCCUUCGGGUUGUAAAGCCCUUUUGUUGGGAAAGAAAUCCAGCUGGUUAUACCGGUUGGGAUGACGGUAGCCAAAGAAUAAGCCCCGGCUAACUUCGUGCCAGCAGCCGCGGUAAUACGAAGGGGGCGAGCGUUACUCGGAAUUACUGGGCGUAAAGGGCGCGUAGGCGGUCUGUUUAGUCAGUAGUGAAAGCCCUGGGCUCAACCUGGGAACUGCAGUGGAUACUGGGAGGCUAGAGUGUGGUAGAGGGUAGCAGGAUU